Molecule: unclassified non-coding RNA, 392 nt
Filed under: Proteus mirabilis
Lineage: Bacteria; Pseudomonadati; Pseudomonadota; Gammaproteobacteria; Enterobacterales; Morganellaceae
Description: partial 16S-23S ribosomal RNA intergenic spacer
Rfam family: tRNA (bases 85-157)
Source: RNAcentral
CCUAAGAGAUACGUGUUAUGUGAAGUGCUCACACAGAUUGUCUGAUGAAGAACGAGCAAAAGCGCGUCUGCGAAGCUGACAGAAGUCCCCUUCGUCUAGAGACCUAGGACACCGCCCUUUCACGGCGGUAACAGGGGUUCGAAUCCCCUAGGGGACGCCAAUGCGCGGUAUGAGUGAAAGGCGUACCACUUAUCUGACGAGAGUCAGAGAAUAACUAAGCUAAUUCAAACGAGUUAUCUUACUUAUUAUGCUCUUUAACAAUCUGGAACAAGCUGAAAAAUUGAAAACAAAUCAAUAUAUCAACGAGGUAUAUUGGUGAGUCUCUCAAAAUCUCAAACCUUAAAGGUUGUCACGCAAAGUUUAUCUUUGAAAGAGACACUUUCGGGUUGUGA